GAUCAUUAUAAAGUUUGAUUGACUUAGUCAGUCUUUCUUCUAUCUCUGCUUAUAACAAACCACGUUGCUUCGGCAGACCUGGAUUGAUUAGUGGUUGAUGUGUUUUGUCUUCGGGCAUAACCUCACUACUAGGAUGUCCUCUGGGGGAUUUAUCUCUCGGUCGUGUCUGUCAAGAGGCCUCAACCAUUCUUAAUUAAUUUUGCCUAAUCUUGAACUGAAGAAUUGGUCUUUGGACUUUUUUUUCGGCUCUAUUAUUUUAAAUUAAAUAAAACUUUCAACAACGGAUCUCUUGGUUCUGGCAUCGAUGAAGAACGCAGCGAAAUGCGAUAAGUAAUGCGAAUUGCAGAAUUCCGUGAGUCAUCGAAUCUUUGAACGCACAUUGCGCCCUUUGGUAUUCCAAAGGGCAUGCCUAUUCGAGCGUCAUUAUCAACCCUCUAGUAAAGACUUUGUGUCGGUGACUAGGCCUUGGGAGAUGUCUGUUUAACUGACCCUCCUCAAAUUCAACGAGUCAAGUCCCUGUGUCUUGGUCCACUGAGCUUCGGCCGGAUCAAGACAUAGGGAUUUGACUUAUAAUUUUUUUCGUUUUUUUUAACGAAAUUUUUCUAGGUUGACCUCGAAUUAGGUAGGAGUACCCGCUGAACUUAAGCAUAUCAAUAAGCGGAGGAAAAGAAACCAACAGGGAUUGCCUUAGUAACGGCGAGUGAAGCGGCAACAGCUCAAAUUUGAAAUCUGACUUGUUUACGAGUCCGAGUUGUAAUUUGCAGAGGAAGUUUUGGGUACCGCCCGGAUGUAAAUGUCUUGGAACAGAAUGUCAUAGAGGGUGAGAAUCCCGUCUGUCAUCGGUGGUAGGGCCCGUGUAAAACUCCUUCGACGAGUCGAGUUGUUUGGGAAUGCAGCUCAAAAUGGGUGGUAAAUUUCAUCUAAAGCUAAAUAUUGGCCAGAGACCGAUAGCGCACAAGUAGAGUGAUCGAAAGAUGAAAAGCACUUUGAAAAGAGAGUUAAACAGUAUGUGAAAUUGUUGAAAGGGAAGCAUAUGCUCCCAGACGUGGGCCUCCGGUUCCCCCUGCCUUUUGGUUGGGUUACUCCGGAUGGUUCAGGCCAACAUCAGUCAUGAGGGUGGGUUAAAGGCUUGAAGAAUGUAUCUACCUCCGGGUCGACUUAUAGCUUCAGGUGUCAUGCCACCUCUCGUGACUGAGGUACGCGC
Molecule: ribosomal RNA, 1204 nt
Filed under: uncultured fungus
Lineage: Eukaryota; Fungi
Description: eukaryotic LSU rRNA
Rfam family: Eukaryotic large subunit ribosomal RNA (bases 609-1204)
Source: RNAcentral